RNAcentral lists this non-coding RNA (92 nucleotides) under Bacillus sp. (in: firmicutes). RNAcentral describes it as "Bacillus sp. Glycine sequence". It matches the Rfam family "Glycine riboswitch aptamer". Rfam says of the family: This family represents the bacterial glycine riboswitch. Glycine riboswitches usually consist of two metabolite-binding aptamers domains with similar structures in tandem. RNAcentral also lists the same sequence under 1 other name. The record is from RNAcentral. Lineage: Bacteria; Bacillati; Bacillota; Bacilli; Caryophanales; Bacillaceae.
AUGAUGACAAGGGGAGAGACUACCUGGUGGUGGCGCCGAAGGAGCAAGCAUAGAAAUGUGAAUCUCUCAGGCAAAAGAACUCUUGUUUGACG